UAGAACAUGAGUUCCUCACUGAGGACUUGCCAGUGAAGCUCAUUAGGAUGAACUGCACUUUAAUGAAGUAAUACAUUGAGUUUGUGGCCGACAGACUUAUGUUGGAACUGGGUUUUAAGACUUAAUGGAGAGUAUUUCACUGCAAGGAAAGAUUAAGUUCUUUGAGAAGAGAGUAGGUGAGUAUCAAAAGAUGACAGUGAUAUCAAGUGCGAUAGAUAAUUCUUUUACUUUGGAUGCCGACUUCUAA
Molecule: long non-coding RNA, 247 nt
Filed under: Homo sapiens (human)
Lineage: Eukaryota; Metazoa; Chordata; Mammalia; Primates; Hominidae
Description: non-protein coding lnc-SPANXN2-2:1
Source: RNAcentral